GCCCGUCACACACGGUGUCUCCAGGAGAUGCGGGUUUGCCAGAUGCCAGCGGGGUGACCGGGGACACGGUGUCUGUGCUGAGCUGUCCUUCCCCACUGAGGGAUGCUCCUGGUGAUGCAGAUCUCCACUGCUCUCCUCCUUGGCUCUUCCGUGGGAGAAAAGUGAGGAGCAAAUCACACCCUGGAGAAUUCAGGGAACACGUGCCAGCUCUGGCUGUACAGCCACAGACUGGGGGACACUGGAAAUCCCAAACAUCCAGGGUGGCCAAGCCCCUGAUGGCUGCAGAGAGCUGAGAAUCAAAUUCCCGGGUGCAUCCCAGGGUCCCUGUGAAUCUGCUUUAGGAUGAGUGAGGAGCCCACCACAAAGCCAGUGCCCAAGAGACUCCUGUGACCAGGGCAGACCGUGUCCCCAGGGCUGGCAGAGAGGGGUGUUUGUGGGGUGUCUGACCAUUCUGCUUCCCUCCAGGUCCAGGGGCCGUGCCCGGAGUCGGAGGUGUCCCUGGCUUGGUUCCUGGCGUUGGAGGUGUCCCCGGGGCGGUGCCUGGUGUCGGAGGUGUCCCCGGGGUGGCAGGUGACUGUUCCAGGAGCCCUGUCCCCAUGGCCUGGCUCUGUGGGGCCAUGGUGGCUGAGGGUCCCUGUCUCUCUUGUCCCCAGGAGUGCCAUCGGCAGCAGCAGCAGCAAAGGCAGCUAAGUAUGGCGCCGCCGUUCCCGGUGUCGGUGUGGGCGGUGUCCCCGGCCUGGUGCCCGGAGUCGGAGGUGUCCCUGGCUUGGUUCCUGGCGUUGGAGGUGUCCCCGGGGCGGUGCCUGGUGUCGGAGGUGUCCCUGGGGUGGCAGGUGACUGUUCCAGGAGCCCUGUCCCCAUGGCCCGGCUCUGUGCGGCCAUGGUGGCUGAGGGUCCCUGUCUCGCUUGUCCCCAGGAGUGCCAUCGGCAGCAGCAGCAGCAAAGGCAGCUAAGUAUGGUACGUGCUGUGUGGGACCCAUGGUCACCGCCCUGCAAAACCUGGUGGGAUCGUGAAACACAUCCCACAGUUUCUAUCAGGACACAGAACUGAUCCUUGUCCUGCCCCGCUCGGGG
Molecule: long non-coding RNA, 1074 nt
Filed under: Cyanistes caeruleus (blue tit)
Lineage: Eukaryota; Metazoa; Chordata; Aves; Passeriformes; Paridae
Description: lncRNA (ENSCCEG00000001863.1)
Source: RNAcentral